Molecule: unclassified non-coding RNA, 1853 nt
Filed under: Haliotis rubra (blacklip abalone)
Lineage: Eukaryota; Metazoa; Mollusca; Gastropoda; Lepetellida; Haliotidae
Description: uncharacterized LOC124282215, transcript variant X1
Source: RNAcentral
UAUGACAGCUGUUCCCAUGCGGACGUGUAGACAUGUACAAGAUCGUUCAUCUGGAUGAAGAUGCCCUGAGUAUGCAUAUGCAGCGGCAGAUCCUGCUCCUGUUGCUGUUGAUACAAUCAGGUUGUGGUACGUCCGAUCUCACCUGCCCAGAUCAGAUUGAAGUAGGUUCUGAAGCAGCCAUCACUUGUGUUGCACCUGACACAACAGACAAGCAUGGCUACUCUACGCCAAACAGGGAAGUUGCUGCUAUCUGUGAGUUACAAGCCUCAGCAUGUCAGCCCCUCGCCCACUACACAGCAGCAGUUGUCAAUGACACCUGUAGCGUUCUGACCAUUCCUAGAGUGAAAAUAUCUGAUGCUGGAGACUGGCGAUGUACAGUUCCACCAUCGCCCAUGCUAACUUGUCACAUGGUUGUCUACAAACUCCCUUCAUGCGUUGUGAUCAGCAACGGAAUGGAUCAAACAACCCAAGUAAACCUUACUGGCUUCUACUGCUCGCAAGGUUUACACUUCCAGGUUGUGGGUUCUGUGUGUAAAGGUUUGACUUUACCUGUCACAAGUAUCACAGAUGGAAGCUUUAACUGCACUGCUACACAACUUGGGUCAACUGAUACAGUCAAUGUGACAUUUACAUGCGGCAAGGUUGGCAGGAGUCUGAAAUGCGAGGAAGUUAAUCACACUUUGACUGGUGUUCGUCAAGACACCACUACAGCCCUGCCUGGGGAAAGGGAACGGCCAGGUCAUACCUCAACUGGCAUUGCACUUCCUGUAAUUAUUUGUAUAAUAAUUUUAAUAAUCAUAAUAAUCACAAUGGUGGUGUUGUAUAGAAAUAGACACGGUUUCCAAUGCUUUGGGAAACAAUCAACACACAGUGCCGUUGACCCAGGGUAUAAGAGUGUAGAGAAGAGCAAGCCCGUUUCACUGUAGUGGAGAUACCUUUUGUGUUAAAUGUAAAAACAAUGAAACAAUGCAAAAGCGGACAGGAAAAUGAAGGCAGCUAUAUUCAAAGGUUAAUGUAAUGUCUUCGGUCUUCAACAAGUAUCAUGAAGGGAGCUAUAUUCAAAGGUUAAUGUAAUGUCUUCGGUCUUCAACAAGUAUCAUGAAGGGAGCUAUAUUCAAAGGUUAAUGUAAUGUCUUCGGUCUUCAACAAGUAUCAUGAAGGGAGCUAUAUUCAAAGGUUAAUGUAAUGUCUUCGGUCUUCAACAAUGUCUUGCGUAUCAGGUUUGUUUGUUAGUUUGUUGUUCAACGCCGGGACUUAGCAGUAUUGCAGCUAUAUGGCGGCGGUCUGUAAAUAAUCGAGUCUGGAUCAGAAAAUCCAGUGAUGAACAAUAUCAGCACCGACUGUCUAUCAGGACUGAAAUGAAUAAGGAUGAGUUCCAAGUCGUUUGAAUACAUCCUUCAGUAAUAACGUUGUUCCUGGUGCAUUUCACAGUUUCACAGUUUUUUAGAAUGGAUCAGUGGAGAACUUCGGAUGCUUUUUCGAACUAUGUGCAUGACGGAGGCAAAGUUGCGAUUCAUCAAACGAAGAGCAAGCUACAGUUUAAAAAUCACAUUUGGAAAGUGAGACGAUAAUUUACAAAGGUUGCACAAAUGACAUCAUUAUGUGAAUAUAUCAUUAAGUAAAGACUUAUUGGUGAAUCUCAAUCAUAAUCCAUACCAGCGUCAUGGGAAUGCUUGUAUACACAUGCAGACUGUGAGCAUAGGCAUAGUUUGGACUCAACAUUUAUUGUUGAAAACCACAAAAGUUAAAAAACACAGUUUAAUAUCAUUUUAACAGUUUUCUUGAUGGUCUAAAAAUAUGACGAGAGCGUACAACGUUUGGUUUGCUUCAGAAAUGAUAUGAUCGUGUGAAUA